RNAcentral lists this long non-coding RNA (1312 nucleotides) under Salmo salar (Atlantic salmon). Its description in RNAcentral is "lncRNA (ENSSSAG00000086734.1, ENSSSAG00000101727.1, ENSSSAG00020068697.1, ENSSSAG00075037415.1)". Lineage: Eukaryota; Metazoa; Chordata; Actinopteri; Salmoniformes; Salmonidae. The record is from RNAcentral.
GGAACAGACAGACUGGUGCACAGUCUCAGGAGGGAUGGUUGUCAGCUGCUAAAAUAUGGCCCUGAUGAUACACAGGGGCCUGUUUGAACUUCUGGAGACUGAAGGUGGGGACCUGCUGGACUCCAGCUUCCAGUCCUGUGACCAGAAGACCAGUGGCUGCUGUGACCUGGAGGAUGCUGCCACUACAUCCCCACGGAUUGCCAUAGAAACCAUGCUAGAUGAGUUGACUCUGGACAGACUGGUGGACUUUGGCCACCUAGUCAGCCCUGAGCUAAGAAUGGUAAAACGUUUAUCACUGAGUUAAUAUGGAAGGGAUAUGAAAGGAUGGAGAAAACGGCAUCAGGGAAGAAAGUGCUGACUGUGCUGCUCCACGGGGAGGCGUGAACAUCGACAUGUCCUUCAUGGUGUACGUGGCCCACCAGAAAGGGCUCCAGACAGAAGAGGAGAAGGCCCGGAUCAGCCACUGCAUGAUGGAGCUGGAGCUGCCUGUGUGGCACCAGGACUGCACUCUGGUUCUGGUGCAGAAGUCUCUGAGUGAACGUCUGAAACACUCUGCAGGGUCCCUGAGGAUGCCUCUUCACACAGGACUGUGCUGUGCAGGUCUGGACAUCUUUCCUUUAAAGGGGAAAGAUAUGUACCCAUUGAUAAUUGAAGAAUAUAACUUAUAAAUGCCUCAUGAGCUAAGUUCAACUGUCUUACCCCAUCAGAACCCAAAAUAUAAGCUUGUUUUAUUCGUAUUUUUGUAAACAAAGUAAAUGUAAACAAACAGCCUCAAAACAUGGUUAUAUCAAUAAUUGUAAUGUCAUCGAUGGUCUGUCCUUGCAACAAUAGCUCCCUCUAUGAAUUUGAGUGGUUACAUUUCUCCCACCCCAUCCCUCAGCUUUUUACCAAAAUAAGGGUGGGGAGGCCACUUUGUUAUUGUCUCAACUGCUGAUUGACGCUUUAAGAACACCAUCGAACUGCCUUUUUAAAUCAGACAUUCUAGACAUUCCAUACAGUAUGAGAUUUGGAAUUUCCAAAACAAGUAAAUGUAUCUGAUGGGGAUGUGUGAAACUCAAUCCUCUGAAGUGUUCCUACUUUUGUCACAGAAUAGCUAGCUUUUCACGUGGCCCGAUUGGUAAGACGCUUCGGGAGGACAGUCAAGUGUGCUAGCAAGACAGAGGUCCUGGGUUCGAGCCUCUGUGUGAGCUGAAUCAGUAGGAAUUGGUACUCACUAACCAAGCAAUGUGACAUCCGUUACAGAUGGUGCCGUGACCUGGAUCUGCAGUUGCGCUCAGCUCAACACUGGGGUCACUGUGGAGUAAGUUUGAGG